This 345-nucleotide ribosomal RNA is filed under the name uncultured bacterium. Its description in RNAcentral is "bacterial SSU rRNA". It matches the Rfam family "Bacterial small subunit ribosomal RNA", at positions 29 to 359 of the family's 1533-position model. The record is from RNAcentral.
AACGAACGCUGGCGGCGUGGAUAAGACAUGCAAGUCGAACGGGACAACAUCUGUAGCAAUACAGGUGUUGUUUAGUGGCGAACGGGUGCGUAACACGUGGGCAAUCUGCCGAGAAGUGGGGGAUAGCUCGCCGAAAGGACGAAUUAAUACCGCAUAUGAUCAGUGAAGACAUCUUCACGACAUCAAAGCCGGGGCAACCUGGCGCUUUUUGAGGAGCCCGCGGCCUAUCAGCUAGUUGGUAAGGUAAUGGCUUACCAAGGCAACGAUCUGUAGCCGGCCUGAGAGGGCGGUCGGCCACACUGACACUGAAUAACGGUCAGACUCCUACGGGAGGCAGCAGUCGGG